Molecule: small nuclear RNA, 154 nt
Filed under: Zea mays
Lineage: Eukaryota; Viridiplantae; Streptophyta; Magnoliopsida; Poales; Poaceae
Description: Zm_107
Rfam family: U4 spliceosomal RNA (bases 1-133)
About the family: U4 small nuclear RNA (U4 snRNA) is a component of the major U2-dependent spliceosome. The structure of U4 snRNA from yeast and human has been reported. U4 snRNA presents a k-turn RNA motif in the 5p-SL related to recognition of Snu13 protein.
Source: RNAcentral
AUCUUUGCGCUUGGGGCAAUGACGCAGCUUAUGAGGUCAUACCGAGGCGCGUCAAUUGCUGGUUGAAAACUAUUUCCAAACCCCCUCUUUGGCCCACUGGGCCACUGAGAAUUUCUGGAAGGGCUCCUUUUCCUCGGAGAAGGUAAAGCCCUAC